CUAAUCAGGAAGGAGAGUGGGGAAGUCGGCAAGGGCUGCCGUGCACGUUUUAUAUGAGGAACCCGAGGCCCCAGGAGGUGGUGUGCAGCCCAGCCGCCAGCUGAGGAGGGCAGGGCCCAGGGGCUGAGACGGCUGUGGUGUCGGUCACGGCGAGUCCCAGAUGAAGGGUGGGUAGGAAUGGAAGACAUUAGAAAAGGAUGCUUCUCUUGGCUGAACAAAGAUCAGAAUGAAAGAGGAAUUCAUUAAAAUGACCCCUGUGCAAAGAAAUACACUUGACUUUGAGAUGC
This is a long non-coding RNA of Manis pentadactyla (Chinese pangolin), 287 nucleotides long. RefSeq lists it as uncharacterized. The record is from RefSeq and is a predicted model, not a curated record. The transcript is spliced from 3 exons. NCBI's taxonomy places the organism in Eukaryota, Metazoa, Chordata, Mammalia, Pholidota, Manidae.